CCUGAUCCCUUCCCGAACUCAGAAGUGAAACCUCUUAGCGCUGAUGGUCGUGUGGGAUUACCCCUGUGAGAGUAAGUCAUCGCCAGCU
This 88-nucleotide ribosomal RNA is filed under the name Acinetobacter baumannii. The record is from RNAcentral. Lineage: Bacteria; Pseudomonadati; Pseudomonadota; Gammaproteobacteria; Moraxellales; Moraxellaceae.